This 608-nucleotide ribosomal RNA is filed under the name uncultured fungus. Its description in RNAcentral is "eukaryotic LSU rRNA". The stretch from base 243 to 396 matches the Rfam family "5.8S ribosomal RNA". The record is from RNAcentral. Lineage: Eukaryota; Fungi.
AGUAAAAGUCGUAACAAGGUCUCCGUUGGUGAACCAGCGGAGGGAUCAUUACAGAGUUGCAAAACUCCCACAAACCAUCGCGAAUCUUACCCGUACGGUUGCCUCGGCGCUGGCGGUCCGGAAAGGCCCUCGGGUCCUCCCGGAUCCUCGGGUCUCCCGCUCGCGGGAGGCUGCCCGCCGGAGUGCCGAAACUAAACUCUUGAUAUUUUAUGUCUCUCUGAGUAAACUUUUAAAUAAGUCAAAACUUUCAACAACGGAUCUCUUGGUUCUGGCAUCGAUGAAGAACGCAGCGAGAUGCGAUAAGUAAUGUGAAUUGCAGAAUUCAGUGAAUCAUCGAAUCUUUGAACGCACAUUGCGCUCGCCAGUAUUCUGGCGAGCAUGCCUGUUCGAGCGUCAUUUCAACCAUCAAGCUCUGCUUGCGUUGGGGAUCCGCGGCUGCCCGCGGUCCCUCAAAAUCAGUGGCGGGCUCGCUAGUCACACCGAGCGUAGUAACUCUACAUCGCUAUGGUCGUGCGGCGGGUUCUUGCCGUAAAACCCCCCAUUUCUAAGGUUGACCUCGGAUCAGGUAGGAAUACCCGCUGAACUUAAGCAUAUCAAUAAGCGGAGGA